RNAcentral lists this ribosomal RNA (496 nucleotides) under uncultured bacterium. RNAcentral's name for it is "partial 16S ribosomal RNA". It matches the Rfam family "Bacterial small subunit ribosomal RNA", at positions 29 to 507 of the family's 1533-position model. The record is from RNAcentral.
AUGCACGCUGGCGGCGUGCCUCAUACCUGCCAGUCGCGCGAACAGACGAGGAGCUUGCUCCUCUGACGUUAGCGGCGGACGGGUGAGUAACACGUGGAUAACCUACCUAUAAGACUGGGAUAACUUCGGGAAACCGGAGCUAAUACCGGAUAAUAUAUUCAACCGCAUGGUUCAAUAGUGUAAGACGGUUUUGCUGUCACUUAUAGAUGGAUCCGCGCCGCAUUAGCUAGUUGGUAAGGUAACGGCUUACCAAGGCAACGAUGCGUAGCCGACCUGAGAGGGUGAUCGGCCACACUGGAACUGAGACACGGUCCAGACUCCUACGGGAGGCAGCAGUAGGGAAUCUUCCGCAAUGGGCGAAAGCCUGACGGAGCAACGCCGCGUGAGUGAUGAAGGUCUUCGGAUCGUAAAACUCUGUUAUUAGGGAAGAACAAAUGUGUAAGUAACUAUGCACGUCUUGACGGUACCUAAUCAGAAAGCCACGGCUAACUACGUG